Molecule: long non-coding RNA, 282 nt
Filed under: Hordeum vulgare
Lineage: Eukaryota; Viridiplantae; Streptophyta; Magnoliopsida; Poales; Poaceae
Description: long non-coding RNA (HVUL_LNC001799)
Source: RNAcentral
UCAGCACUAUGCACGGCCUCCAGCAAGACUAUAAACACUAGAAACUACUUGCAACUCCUGGACCGAGUACUAAGCGAUUAAUAGGCCGAGCGGGGUCAUAUUUCACGGCCAAGCAAGUGGUAGUAUCUAGUCUUGGAUUACAUACACGGAACUCAGUUCCUAAGGACGGUUCCAAUGAAACAACCCGCCAUGUACUCCUACACAGCCUUUCACCGGUACGUUUACCAAAUCAUGUUCAACACACAACCUUUGUUUACCGAACACAUUCUCACAAUUCUGUUC